ACUUGGAAGAAUGUAUUAAUGAUUAUAUUAUAUAAAAUUCUAAAUAAAAAACUGAUAAUGACAACUUUUUAUUUAUUAGUCUUGACCAAAUUACGUGCCAGCAGUCGCGGCAACACGCAGAAGACAAGUGUUAUUCAUCUUUAUUCGGUUUAAAGGGUACCUAGACGGGAAAUCAAGCCUGCCCUCGGUUUUCAUUUUUCUUUACCUGUAAAAUGGCCGAGGGUAUAAUAAACUAUUUUCUUCCUAUAGAAAAUGAGGAACUAGUUUUCUAGAGUUUAAUGAAAGAAAGUCGAAUAUCUGGAGUAGAGAUACAAUAUUUUGAUACUGGAUGGACGGGUAACGGCGUAGGCAACUUUCUAUGUAAAAACUGACGUUGAGGGACGAAGCCCUAGGUAGCGAUAUGGAUUAGAUACCCAAGUAGUCCGGGGAGACAAUGAUGAGUGCCAUAAGCUAGAUAUAUUAGUUUAUAAAUGAAAGUGCAAGCAUUCCACCUCAUGAGUAAGGCGGCAACGCAUAAAUUGAAAUCAUUAGACCGUUUCUGAAACCAGUAGUGAAGUAUGUUAUUUAAUUCGAUGAUCCGCGAAUAACCUUACCACGUUUUGUAUACUAUUUAAUUAAUACAAGCGCUGCACGGCUGUCUUUAGUUAAUGUCGUGAGACUUUGGUUAAUUCCUUUAAUUAACGCAAACCCUUGUUUUAUUUAUACAUAAAACUGUUUUCCGCUAUAUUGGAUAAGAUAAUAGGGAUUAAGGCAAGUCAUCAUGGCCUUAAUAACGUGGGCUAUAGACGUGCCACACAUGCCUUCACAAAAGGAUGCAAUAUUGUGAAAUAAAGCUAAUCCUUAAAAUAGGACAUAACAUAUCGUGGAU
This 868-nucleotide ribosomal RNA is filed under the name Normandina simodensis. RNAcentral describes it as "SSU rRNA". It matches the Rfam family "Bacterial small subunit ribosomal RNA", at positions 395 to 1305 of the family's 1533-position model. The record is from RNAcentral. Lineage: Eukaryota; Fungi; Ascomycota; Eurotiomycetes; Verrucariales; Verrucariaceae.